Molecule: ribosomal RNA, 440 nt
Filed under: uncultured bacterium
Lineage: Bacteria
Description: partial 16S ribosomal RNA
Rfam family: Bacterial small subunit ribosomal RNA
Source: RNAcentral
CCUACGGGAGGCAGCAGUGGGGAAUAUUGCACAAUGGGGGAAACCCUGAUGCAGCGACGCCGCGUGAGCGAAGAAGUAUUUCGGUAUGUAAAGCUCUAUCAGCAGGGGAGAAAAUGACGGUACCUGAGUAAGAAGCUCCGGCUAAAUACGUGCCAGCAGCCGCGGUAAUACGUAUGGAGCAAGCGUUAUCCGGAUUUACUGGGCGUAAAGGGAGCGUAGGCGGCCUGCCAAGUCUGAUGUGAAAUACCGUGGCUCAACCCCGGGGCUGCAUUGGAAACUGGCAGGCUGGAGUGCCGGAGAGGCAGGCGGAAUUCCUAGUGUAGCGGUGAAAUGCGUAGAUAUCAGGAGGAACACCGGCGGCGAAGGCGGCUUACUGGACUGUAACUGACGUUGAGGCUCGAAGGCGUGGGGAGCAAACAGGAUUAGAUACCCCUGUAGUC